This 160-nucleotide ribosomal RNA is filed under the name Cuapetes grandis. Its description in RNAcentral is "partial 16S ribosomal RNA". The record is from RNAcentral. Lineage: Eukaryota; Metazoa; Arthropoda; Malacostraca; Decapoda; Palaemonidae.
ACUUGUAUAUUUUUUUGGAUACGAGUCACUUGAUUAGAUUAAAGUAUAGUAUUCUCUAUGUAUUUUGUUGGGGCGACAGGAAUAGAACUUUUAUCUGUUUUAAUUAUAAGUUAAUAAUAAUUAGAUAUUGAGCCUUUAGUAUGGAUUAAAAGAAUAAGUU